Molecule: long non-coding RNA, 1180 nt
Organism: Felis catus (domestic cat)
Lineage: Eukaryota; Metazoa; Chordata; Mammalia; Carnivora; Felidae
Exons: 3
Source: RefSeq, a predicted model, not a curated record
CGCCGCCGCUGCCAUCUACGCGCGCCGCGGCCGAGGCUGGAGUUUUAAACGGCGUUUCCCGGGCGCCCGGCGCGGGCCCACGCGAUCCCUAAUGGCCCCGGUGGCUGCCAAUCACGCGUCGCUCCCGCCCCCGCCCCGCCCCACCCUGCUGGUGCAGUGGAACCACUCUUGGCCUAGGACGCGAGGGUCCCACCGUCGGUGGGUCUGUGGGCCCGGCCAGCGUCCGUCAGCUUCUCCGAAUCUUCAUCUUUCGGUCUUCCAGUCCCGGGAUCUCUGCGUCUCUCGGUUCUGCAAAAGCCGCAGGCCAAUUCCUGGGACGAGGAGGGGUCUUGACAAACCUUUCCCUCAAAAGGCCGCACCCGCGACUGGGGGCUUAGCGCCAGAAUUAGUGGAGCUGGCAUGGGGGCGCUCUGGCUGACCCCCGCCCCCCACCGUCCCUCCAAGAUGGGUCCUGAGCUGCGCGCGCACACAGACACGCACUCUCCCUACGGGUCCCACACCACCGGCCGCCCUGCCGUCCCCGCGCCACCACAGCACCCUACAACCCGAAAUCAGCACUCGCCGCUCACGCACUCAGCCCAUACACAGGAUGGCGCUCCUAACCGCCGGCCUCCUGUCUGGCAAGCUGGAGGCCUCUUCGAGAGGCUGUGGAUGUGGGACUCAGCUUCCCACGCAGCACACGCACCUGUUUCAAGGGGGACAGACACCCGGUUCCUGGCCCACAUGGGGAAAAUCCUGGGCCUGGGGCCCUCGCAUUCCUGCCAGUGCCCUACUCCCUGCAGGCAGGACCGGCUCACAGGAAGAAGACGUUUGGGAGCCGCCUUUGGGGCCAGGUGGUGAAGGAGCCCAGCCUUCUGAAAGCUUGGCCACAGAGAAGACUGAGGAAGGAAGUGAUUCGGACUCAACUUUGAUGAAACCCAUGCCUCCCACCAGACUCCCUCCAACCAUGAUCACCCUGGAAUCCUGAUGCUUCAUCCCAGGCUCACAGAGCCUGACCCCACUUGCAGAGCCAGGAUCAAGGUUGAGUACAUAGAGGGUGCUCAAGUGGCUCUUAUCACCCAUCCUCUCCAAGCAUAGAGACAGCAAAAGACAGAAGGAAAGAAAGGAAAUGAACAAUGAGGAAAUCUGUAUCCAUUCAACAAGACUCCUAUGGGCCAAUGCCUCUGUUAGGCUCUGUAAA